GGAGGUGUAGCUCAACAAUAGAGCUCUUGCUUAGCAUACAUGUGGUCCUAGGUUCAAUCCCCAGUACUAUCA
Molecule: transfer RNA, 72 nt
Filed under: Mesocricetus auratus (golden hamster)
Lineage: Eukaryota; Metazoa; Chordata; Mammalia; Rodentia; Cricetidae
Rfam family: tRNA
About the family: Transfer RNA (tRNA) molecules are approximately 80 nucleotides in length.
Source: Rfam by way of RNAcentral